CGAACGGGUGAGUAACGCGUGAGGAACCUGCCUCAAAGAGGGGGACAACAGUUGGAAACGACUGCUAAUACCGCAUAAGCCCACGGGUCGGCAUCGAUCUGAGGGAAAAGGAGUGAUCCGCUUUGAGAUGGCCUCGCGUCCGAUUAGCUAGUUGGUGAGGUAACGGCCCACCAAGGCGACGAUCGGUAGCCGGUCUGAGAGGUUGAACGGCCACAUUGGGACUGAGACACGGCCCAG
Molecule: ribosomal RNA, 237 nt
Filed under: uncultured bacterium
Lineage: Bacteria
Description: partial 16S ribosomal RNA
Rfam family: Bacterial small subunit ribosomal RNA
Source: RNAcentral